GACGAACGCUGGCGGCGUGCUUAACGCAUGCAAGUCGAACGGUAAGGCCCUUUCGGGGGUACACGAGUGGCGAACGGGUGAGUAACACGUGGGUGAUCUGCCCUGCACUUUGGGAUAAGCCUGGGAAACUGGGUCUAAUACCGGAUAGGACUACGCGAUGCAUGUCGUAUGGUGGAAAGCUUUUGCGGUGUGGGAUGGGCCCGCGGCCUAUCAGCUUGUUGGUGGGGUGAUGGCCUACCAAGGCGACGACGGGUAGCCGGCCUGAGAGGGUGUCCGGCCACACUGGGACUGAGAUACGGCCCAGACUCCUACGGGAGGCAGCAGUGGGGAAUAUUGCACAAUGGGCGCAAGCCUGAUGCAGCGACGCCGCGUGGGGGAUGACGGCCUUCGGGUUGUAAACCCCUUUCAGCACAGACGAAGCGUAAGUGACGGUAUGUGCAGAAGAAGCACCGGCCAACUACGUG
This 464-nucleotide ribosomal RNA is filed under the name uncultured bacterium. RNAcentral's name for it is "partial 16S ribosomal RNA". It matches the Rfam family "Bacterial small subunit ribosomal RNA", at positions 28 to 507 of the family's 1533-position model. The record is from RNAcentral.